RNAcentral lists this small RNA (783 nucleotides) under Pongo abelii (Sumatran orangutan). Its description in RNAcentral is "processed transcript". Lineage: Eukaryota; Metazoa; Chordata; Mammalia; Primates; Hominidae. The record is from RNAcentral.
GCGCGGCGGCUGGACGGCUGGGCCGUUGUCACCAUGCCGGUCGUCCGGAAGAUUUUCCGUCGCCGCCGGGGCGACUCGGAGUCAGAGGAAGAUGAGCAGGACUCAGAGGAGGUUCGAUUAAAACUGGAAGAGACCAGAGAGGUACAGAACUUGAGGAAGAGGCCCAACGGGAAAACAUCCGUGUUUCCUCAGCAAAGAAGACCGAGGAGAUGCUUUCCAACCAGAUGCUGAGUGGCAUUCCUGAGGUGGACCUGGGCAUCGAUGCUAAAAUAAAAAAUAUCAUUUCCACGGAGGAUGCCAAGGCCCGUCUGCUGGCAGAGCAGCAGAACAAGAAGAAAGACAGCGAGACCUCCUUCGUGCCUACCAACAUGGCUGUGAAUUACGUACAGCACAACAGAUUUUAUCAUGAGGAGCUCAACGCGCCCAUACGGAGAAACAAAGAAGAGCCCAAGGCCCGGCCCUUGAGAGUAGGCGACACAGAGAAGCCAGAGCCUGAGCGGUCCCCUCCUAACCGCAAGCGUCCUGCUAACGAGAAGGCAACUGAUGACUAUCAUUAUGAGAAGUUCAAGAAAAUGAAUAGGCGGUACUGAGCUGUGCAGAGUGGGAUGUAAAUAUCGCCUUCCUUUCCCUAUAUCCCUCCCAUGAAAACUGGCUUCCUGGCCGGGCGUGGUGGCUCACGCCUGUAAUCCCAGCACUUUGGGAGGCCGAGGUGGGCGGAUCACCUGAGGUCGGAAGUUUGAGACCAGCCUGACCAACAUGGAGAAACCCUGUCUCUACUGAAAA